CGGACGGGUGAGUAAUGUCUGGGAAACUGCCCGAUGGAGGGGGAUAACUACUGGAAACGGUAGCUAAUACCGCAUAACGUCGCAAGACCAAAGAGGGGACCUUCGGGCCUCUUGCCAUCGGAUGUGCCCAGAUGGGAUUAGCUAGUAGGUAGGGUAACGGCUCACCUAGGCGACGAUCCCUAGCUGGUCUGAGAGGAUGACCAGCCACACUGGAACUGAGACACGGUCCAG
This 231-nucleotide ribosomal RNA is filed under the name uncultured bacterium. RNAcentral's name for it is "partial 16S ribosomal RNA". It matches the Rfam family "Bacterial small subunit ribosomal RNA", at positions 99 to 334 of the family's 1533-position model. The record is from RNAcentral.